UUAGUUGCUAAAUCAUGUCUGACUCGUUGUGACCCCAUGGACUGUGGCCUGUCGGGCUCCUCUUUGCAUGGGAUUCUCCAGGCAAGAAUACUGGAGUGGGCAGCCAUUCCCUUCUCCAGGGGAUCUUCCUGACCCAGCGAUCAAACCCACGUCUCCUGCAUUGGCAGGCAGAUUCUUUACGUCUGAGCCACCA
Cervus elaphus (red deer) is the source of this 193-nucleotide long non-coding RNA. RefSeq lists it as uncharacterized. Lineage: Eukaryota; Metazoa; Chordata; Mammalia; Artiodactyla; Cervidae. The record is from RefSeq and is a predicted model, not a curated record. The transcript has 3 exons.